GCUUGCUCUCUGGGUGACGAGCGGCGGACGGGUGAGUAAUGUCUGGGAAACUGCCUGAUGGAGGGGGAUAACUACUGGAAACGGUAGCUAAUACCGCAUAACGUCUACGGACCAAAGUGGGGGACCUUCGGGCCUCACGCCAUCAGAUGUGCCCAGAUGGGAUUAGCUAGUAGGUGGGGUAAUGGCUCACCUAGGCGACGAUCCCUAGCUGGUCUGAGAGGAUGACCAGCCACACUGGAACUGAGACACGGUCCAGACUCCUACGGGAGGCAGCAGUGGGGAAUAUUGCACAAUGGGCGCAAGCCUGAUGCAGCCAUGCCGCGUGUGUGAAGAAGGCCUUAGGGUUGUAAAGCACUUUCAGCGAGGAGGAAGGGUAGUGUGUUAAUAGCACAUUGCAUUGACGUUACUCGCAGAAGAAGCACCGGCUAACUCCGUGCCAGCAGCCGCGGUAAUACGGAGGGUGCAAGCGUUAAUCGGAAUUACUGGGCGUAAAGCGCACGCAGGCGGUUUGUUAAGUCAGAUGUGAAAUCCCCGCGCUUAACGUGGGAACUGCAUUUGAAACUGGCAAGCUAGAGUCUUGUAGAGGGGGGUAGAAUUCCAGGUGUAGCGGUGAAAUGCGUAGAGAUCUGGAGGAAUACCGGUGGC
This 645-nucleotide ribosomal RNA is filed under the name Serratia sp. V1B1-13. Its description in RNAcentral is "bacterial SSU rRNA". It matches the Rfam family "Bacterial small subunit ribosomal RNA", at positions 78 to 716 of the family's 1533-position model. The record is from RNAcentral. Lineage: Bacteria; Pseudomonadati; Pseudomonadota; Gammaproteobacteria; Enterobacterales; Yersiniaceae.